AGGGAGGAUACUCAGCAGAGGGCCCAGAAGAGGUGACCCUAACCGUGACCAUGCUGCAGUGCUGAGUUACGAGAAGAGGAGGACCACUUGUGGGGACACUACAGAGCAGCUCUCCCAUGCCCAGCUGUGAGGGGCAGCCCCAGUGGAGGUUGCUGCACCAUCAGACCAGUGAUGGUACUACUGUACAUUAACAUUUGCAAUACCGAAGGGCCUGAUGCUGCAGUCCUUGGAGUCCCUGCAAGACCCCCUGUGGCCGAAUGUAUCUGUGGAGUCACGCCAAGGCUGAAUGUGGGUAAUAUUGACUCUGUUGUGAGGGCUACCUCAGCAGGAAGCUUAGGUGCUGUCUCCAGUAAUGGAA
Mauremys mutica (yellowpond turtle) is the source of this 358-nucleotide long non-coding RNA. RefSeq lists it as uncharacterized. The record is from RefSeq and is a predicted model, not a curated record. Lineage: Eukaryota; Metazoa; Chordata; Testudines; Geoemydidae. The transcript has 3 exons.